RNAcentral lists this long non-coding RNA (239 nucleotides) under Elaeis guineensis (African oil palm). RNAcentral's name for it is "long non-coding RNA (EGUI_LNC013360)". The record is from RNAcentral. Lineage: Eukaryota; Viridiplantae; Streptophyta; Magnoliopsida; Arecales; Arecaceae.
UGGGCAAGGAGAAUCCGACUUGUCAUCGUUUCCCCGACUAAACGCGUCGAACGCCAUUCGACUAAGCACCUCGAGCGACAUUUGACUAUCAAACCAUAUGAAAGGAUCCGGCCAUCGAGUCAUACCCGAAGGUCGGAUGAAUUUUGACUCGACGGACAUGCCCGACUCACGAUCGGGUGACAGAUGUUCGACUUAAGCCCUCGAUCGUUGGAUUAUACGACAAUUGGGAGGCUGAUCCG